Molecule: long non-coding RNA, 359 nt
Organism: Xenopus laevis (African clawed frog)
Lineage: Eukaryota; Metazoa; Chordata; Amphibia; Anura; Pipidae
Exons: 3
Source: RefSeq, a predicted model, not a curated record
CACACACCAAGUAAGAGUUAUGCACCAUAGGAGACCUAUACAGGAGGCACCGAAAGACGGUGCCAUUAGAUCUGCUGCACAUCAAGAGAGAGACCUACUGUAGCAAGUGCCUCUCCUUCUUCAAUAUCACCAGAUCCUGAAAGCCCAUAGCUACACCGCACAGCCCCUUGAGCAAUUUAAAAUGUAAACUAUAUUAAGUGUCCCACUGGCAAGAUUUGAUGGCGUAUUGGAAUAGUUUCCUCACCCAGUUUCAGCAAGAGUUUUGAAGACAGGAACCAGAACAGAGUGUGGUCAUACAUGAAGAGUCAGGAGAAGUGCAGCACCAAAAGAUGCAGCAAUACUCAUGCUAAUAUUAUAGA